This 441-nucleotide ribosomal RNA is filed under the name uncultured bacterium. RNAcentral's name for it is "bacterial SSU rRNA". It matches the Rfam family "Bacterial small subunit ribosomal RNA", at positions 339 to 797 of the family's 1533-position model. The record is from RNAcentral.
CUACGGGAGGCAGCAGUGGGGAAUAUUGCACAAUGGGCGAAAGCCUGAUGCAGCAACGCCGCGUGGAGGAUGAAGGCCUUCGGGUUGUAAACUCUUGUCUUCUGGGACGAUAAUGACGGUACCAGAGGAGGAAGCCACGGCUAACUACGUGCCAGCAGCCGCGGUAAUACGUAGGUGGCAAGCGUUGUCCGGAUUUACUGGGCGUAAAGGAUGCGUAGGCGGAUAUUUAAGUGGGAUGUGAAAUACCCGGGCUCAACCUGGGUGCUGCAUUCCAAACUGGAUAUCUAGAGUGCGGGAGAGGAGAGUGGAAUUCCUAGUGUAGCGGUGAAAUGCGUAGAGAUUAGGAAGAACACCAGUGGCGAAGGCGACUCUCUGGACCGUAACUGACGCUGAGGCAUGAAAGCGUGGGGAGCAAACAGGAUUAGAAACCCUGGUAGUCCU